Molecule: ribosomal RNA, 515 nt
Filed under: uncultured bacterium
Lineage: Bacteria
Description: partial 16S ribosomal RNA
Rfam family: Bacterial small subunit ribosomal RNA
Source: RNAcentral
GACGAACGCUGGCGGCGUGCCUAAUACAUGCAAGUCGAGCGGACUUUCAAGAAGCUUGCUUUUUGAAAGUUAGCGGCGGACGGGUGAGUAACUCGUGGGCAACCUGCCUGUAAGACGGGGAUAACUCCGGGAAACCGGGGCUAAUACCGGAUAAUAUCUUUCUUCGCAUGAAGGAAGGUUGAAAGGCGGCGAAAGCUGCCGCUUGCAGAUGGUCCCGCGGCGCAUUAGCUAGUUGGUGAGGUAACGGCUCACCAAGGCGACGAUGCGAAGCCGACCUGGGAGGGUGAUCGGCCACACUGGGACUGAGACACGGCCCAGACUCCUACGGGAGGCAGCAGUAGGGAAUCUUCCGCAAUGGACGAAAGUCUGACGGAGCAACGCCGCGUGAGCGAAGAAGGUCUUCGGAUCGUAAAGCUCUGUUGUCAGGGAAGAACAAGUACCGUUCGAAUAGGGCGGUACCUUGACGGUACCUGACCAGAAAGCCACGGCUAACUACGUGCCAGCAGCCGCCGUAA